UACGUAGGUGGCAAGCGUUAUCCGGAUUUACUGGGUGUAAAGGGCGUGUAGGCGGGAAAGCAAGUCAGAUGUGAAAACCAUGGGCUCAACCUGUGGCCUGCAUUUGAAACUGUUUUUCUUGAGUACUGGAGAGGCAGACGGAAUUCCUAGUGUAGCGGUGAAAUGCGUAGAUAUUAGGAGGAACACCAGUGGCGAAGGCGGUCUGCUGGACAGCAACUGACGCUGAGGCGCGAAAGCGUAGGGAGCAAACAGG
RNAcentral lists this ribosomal RNA (253 nucleotides) under uncultured bacterium. RNAcentral's name for it is "partial 16S ribosomal RNA". It matches the Rfam family "Bacterial small subunit ribosomal RNA", at positions 524 to 776 of the family's 1533-position model. The record is from RNAcentral.